CGGGUGAGUAACGCGUGAGGAACCUGCCUCAAAGAGGGGGACGACAGUUGGAAACGACUGCUAAUACCGCAUAAGCCCACGGCUCGGCAUCGAGCAGAGGGAAAAGGAGUGAUCCGCUUUGAGAUGGCCUCGCGUCCGAUUAGCUAGUUGGUGAGGUAACGGCCCACCAAGGCAACGAUCGGUAGCCGGACUGAGAGGUUGAACGGCCACAUUGGGACUGAGACACGGCCCAG
This 233-nucleotide ribosomal RNA is filed under the name uncultured bacterium. RNAcentral describes it as "partial 16S ribosomal RNA". It matches the Rfam family "Bacterial small subunit ribosomal RNA", at positions 103 to 334 of the family's 1533-position model. The record is from RNAcentral.